GGGGGUGCCUGCGGAGGGAUCAUUACCGAGUUUACAACUCCCAAACCCCUGUGAACAUACCAUUUGUUGCCUCGGCGGUGCCUGCUUCGGCAGCCCGCCAGAGGACCCAAACCCUUGAUUUUAUACAGUAUCUUCUGAGUAAAUGAUUAAAUAAAUCAAAACUUUCAACAACGGAUCUCUUGGUUCUGGCAUCGAUGAAGAACGCAGCGAAAUGCGAUAAGUAAUGUGAAUUGCAGAAUUCAGUGAAUCAUCGAAUCUUUGAACGCACAUUGCGCCCGCCAGUAUUCUGGCGGGCAUGCCUGUUCGAGCGUCAUUUCAACCCUCAAGCCCCCGGGCUUGGUGUUGGAGAUCGGCGUGCCCUCCGGGGCGCGCCGGCUCCCAAAUAUAGUGGCGGUCUCGCUGUAGCUUCCUCUGCGUAGUAGCACACCUCGCACUGGGAAACAGGCGUGGCCACGCCGUUAAACCCCCCACUUCUGAAAGGUUGACCUCGGAUCAGGUAGGAAUACCCGCUGAACUUAAGCAUAUCAUAAGGCCGGAG
Molecule: ribosomal RNA, 538 nt
Filed under: Ilyonectria sp. KACC 44655
Lineage: Eukaryota; Fungi; Ascomycota; Sordariomycetes; Hypocreales; Nectriaceae
Description: eukaryotic LSU rRNA
Rfam family: 5.8S ribosomal RNA (bases 160-313)
Source: RNAcentral